GACGAACGCUGGCGGCGUACUUAACACAUGCAAGUCGAACGGAGCACCCUUGAUUGAGGUUUCGGCCAAAUGAUAGGAAUGCUUAGUGGCGGACUGGUGAGUAACGCGUGAGGAACCUGCCUUUCAGAGGGGGACAACAGUUGGAAACGACUGCUAAUACCGCAUGACGCAUUUUGAUCGCAUGGUCGAAAUGCCAAAGAUUUAUCGCUGAAAGAUGGCCUCGCGUCUGAUUAGCUAGUUGGUGAGGUAACGGCCCACCAAGGCGACGAUCAGUAGCCGGACUGAGAGGUUGACCGGCCACAUUGGGACUGAGAUACGGCCCAGACUCCUACGGGAGGCAGCAGUGGGGAAUAUUGGGCAAUGGGCGCAAGCCUGACCCAGCAACGCCGCGUGAAGGAAGAAGGCUUUCGGGUUGUAAACUUCUUUUAAGUGGGAAGAGUAGAAGACGGUACCACUUGAAUAAGCCACGGCUAACUACGUGCCAGCAGCCGCAGUAA
This 497-nucleotide ribosomal RNA is filed under the name uncultured bacterium. RNAcentral describes it as "partial 16S ribosomal RNA". It matches the Rfam family "Bacterial small subunit ribosomal RNA", at positions 28 to 523 of the family's 1533-position model. The record is from RNAcentral.